This 319-nucleotide unclassified non-coding RNA is filed under the name uncultured fungus. RNAcentral's name for it is "partial contains 18S rRNA, ITS1 and 5.8S rRNA". The stretch from base 233 to 319 matches the Rfam family "5.8S ribosomal RNA", at positions 1 to 87 of the family's 154-position model. Lineage: Eukaryota; Fungi. The record is from RNAcentral.
GCGGAAGGAUCAUUAUCGUACAAUCGAGGUGCCGGAGUUGUCGCUGUCCUCUAAGGGGGUCGUGCACGCCUCGGUGCUCUCACACAUCAAUCCAUCUCACCCCUUUUGUGCAUCACCGCGUGGGGACCCCUUUUGGCUAGUUCCGAGGGGGGUUUUCACGUUUUUACAAAAACACCCUUUUAAUGCAAUGUGUAGAAUGUCUUUACUUUUUGCGAUCAUACGCAAUCAAUACAACUUUCAACAACGGAUCUCUUGGCUCUCGCAUCGAUGAAGAACGCAGCGAAAUGCGAUACGUAAUGUGAAUUGCAGAAUUCAGUGA